This 1604-nucleotide long non-coding RNA is filed under the name Homo sapiens (human). RNAcentral describes it as "HSALNT0395533". The record is from RNAcentral. Lineage: Eukaryota; Metazoa; Chordata; Mammalia; Primates; Hominidae.
ACAGAGCCCCCGGCAGCCAAGCUACCGGGUGUCCUGGCCCCCUUCAGUUCCCUCCCUUGUCCUCCUCGAGGACCCCCCAACUCAGGCACCCACACCACGGGGGGCUGCGGGACCCCGAGCCUCACUCGUGCCACCGGCCACCCAGCGUCCCCUGCAUCUUCCCCGGGGACUCACACACCGCCUCGAGGCCACUCCGCCCCUCCGGAUGGAUGUCCAAGCCUCCAGCCAGGGCCCCUUCCCUGCUUCAUCUCCAGGGUUGACGGAGGUCGAAGGAGCACAUGUCUGCUUGCAGGGCACGCCAGGUCCUGAUGGACACUGACGUCUAGACCUAGACGGUGGCUCAGCCUGAACCCUGGACGGCCUGGAGCACAGCCAUGCAACUGCUUCUAAGACAAAACCGAGGUGGGGAUUAAAGCUACCCUCCCAGGCCGCCUGGCUGGAAACUCAUCCCCCUCUGUCCCCAGCCCCUGCAGCCCCCAUCACUGCCGCUGACAGCCGCAGGGUGUGGCUCACAGAGGGACAGCAGGGAGGGAGAGACGGACGGGGUGGGAUCCUGGGGGCCUGUGGCCUUCAGAGCGUCUCACUGCCCCAGCCUUGAUGGGGUUGUCUGUAGAGCGGGGAUUCAGCUGCCUGGUCUGUGGCGACUGUCCGGUGGCCCAGGGGGUGGACGUGACUCUCCUGUGCGACUUUGUUUUUCUGAGACGGAGUCUUGCAGUGGCGCGAUCUCGGCUCACUGCAACCCUCGCCUCCCGGGUUCAAGCGAUUCUCUUGCCUCAGCCUCCCGAGCAGCUGGGACUACAGGUGUGUGCCACCACACCGGCCUAAUUUUCUUUUCUUUUCUUUUCUUUUCUUUUUAUUUUUUGAGACGGAGUUUCACUCUUUCGCCCAGGCUGGAGUGCAGUGGCGUGAUCUCAGCUCACUGCAAACUCCGCCUCUCGGGUUCAGGCCAUUCUCCUGCCUCAGCCUCCUGAGUAGCUGGGACCACAGGCGCCUGCCACCACGCCCAGCUAAUUUUUUUUUUUGUAUUUUUUAGUAGAGACGGGGUUUCACCCUGUUAGCCAGGAUGGUCUCGAUCUCCUGACCUCAUGAUCCGCCCGCCUCAGCCUCCCAAAGUGCUGGGAUAACAGGCGUGAACCACCAUGCCCAGCCACGCCCAGCUAAUUUUCUGUAUUUUAGUAGAGAUGGGAUUUCACCAUGUUGCCCAGGCUGGUCUUGAACUCCUGGGUCCAGGCAGUCUGCCCACCUUGGCCUCCCAAAGUACUGAGAUUACAGGCAUGAGCCACCGGGCCUGGCCCCACGGUGUGACUUUGACCUCCUCAUGGGAGGAAAAAGCAGGAUGAAGCGGGGAUGAUGUCUGUCGGUCCUCAGCAGGAGCAUCUGCCAACGUCUCCACAUUGUGGACCUGAGAUUGUUCUCCGGAAGCUGCAGUCGGAGCAUCGCCAGGCCCAGCCCUGGGUCCUCCACCCGGGCCACUGCCUCUCAGGCGGCCUCUCCCUGCCCCCGCCCCUCCGGGGCCCCACAGGGCGGCCAGUGCAGACCUGGGUGUGCAACGGCCCCAUCAGCGUUUGUUUCAUGAACAAAUAAAUGUCUAAAUUCAGGACCCA